GACGUAGGGCGCGAGCGUUGUCCGGAUUUAUUGGGCGUAAAGAGCUCGUAGGCGGUUUGUCGCGUCGUCCGUGAAAACUCACAGCUUAACUGUGAGCUUGCGGUCGAUACGGGCAGGCUAGAGUAUAGUAGGGGUAAAGGGAAUUUCCAGUGGAGCGGUGAAAUGCGUAGAGAUUGGAAAGAACACCGAUGGCGAAGGCACUUUACUGGGCUAUUACUAACACUCAGAGACGAAAGCUAGGGUAGCAAAUGGG
This 253-nucleotide ribosomal RNA is filed under the name uncultured bacterium. Its description in RNAcentral is "partial 16S ribosomal RNA". It matches the Rfam family "Bacterial small subunit ribosomal RNA", at positions 524 to 776 of the family's 1533-position model. The record is from RNAcentral.